Molecule: non-coding RNA, 469 nt
Organism: Pelobates cultripes (western spadefoot toad)
Lineage: Eukaryota; Metazoa; Chordata; Amphibia; Anura; Pelobatidae
Source: the annotation of a GenBank genome assembly
UGUCGAUUUAAAAUGUUAUUGGUUUGCCAUAUCAAAGAAAUGUACCGGUAGUAUAAAAGGAGUCUUAAUGCACACAAUGAGAAAAGGCAUAAAAUAAAUAAAUUACCACUAAGUCACCCAGGCCCAUCAUCUCAGUGAAGUGUCCUGGGUGCUGUGACCCUGUGUUAAACUCUCUAAUGAAAAACAUGGUGGUUUUUCAAUGUUUAUACUGACUGCCUCGAGAUGAGCUUCCUCAUGCAGUAAUAACCGAUGAAAACUCAACAUGACUGCAGCCCCCAUAGGAAAGCACUGAUAAAGUGGUUUCCUAUGAGGAAAUGAUGAUGCGUGCAGCAAUAGCCAUGAAUGUACAGCGGGUCCCCAAUUCCAAGGCCAUGCCUGCCCUGUGACACUACUGGAAAAAAGGUAAGCGAGUGGGAGGGUAAGCAAUAUUACCCUUUUAUGAUGCAUGAAAAAAAAAAGGGGGUGGAGG